ACUCCCCCCUCCCGCCCCCUGAAAGGUCCCUUUUUGGAAUAUCUGCACUGUGCCAGGACCAGCACUGCCAGGAAGAGUGCAGGACAAUUUGUUUUCUUGUUUUCUGUUUGGGAGACUCGUCUGCACUGGUCGGUUCUCUCUCAGGUCACAGGGGACCAAACCAUUGGGCUUGUCAGCGAGUCCUUCCAUACCUGGUGUGUACAGCUCAGGGUCUUCCUUCGUUCCCUCAACCACAUGUUGGUGGCAUGUGCUGGGCCGUAGGGGCCAGCACGUUUACUAAGGGGGCCCAUGGUGGGGAGGGGUGGUGUAUCCUGGGCUGUGGGAUCAGACAGAAUGGGGUUUAAAUGUCUUGUCUUUCAUUUCCUAAAAAUCUGAUCUCGUACUUGGCCCUCAGCUUUUCUGAGCCUCAGUCUCCUCGUCUGUAAGAUGGGGAGAAAGAUGGCUUCUGCAGGUGCGGUUGUGCUGACUAGGUUAGUCAGUCAUUGGUCGUUAGCCCCCUCCCUGCCUGGGAGAUGAGACAGCAUGGGAGGGCCCCUCGGAGAUCAUCGUAAGGGAGCAGGAGGGAAAAGGUGCAGGCAGUGAGGCCUCCAGGGACUGUAGGAAUGUUCUAGAAGGAGGUAGGUGAAAGCCUCACAGGUGUGGUCAAGAGCAUGACUAAACAAGGCAGGAAACCAGGGGCAGGUUGGAGACGGGCGACUAGUUGAGGCCAGAUGGUCUAGAUGAAGCUGAGGAGAGGGUAGCUGAAUCCAGGGGACUAGUAGAGGCCAGGGGCUAGUAGGACUGCUUUAGCUACACAGACCAGAGCUGCUCAGAUUGCCUGAGCCAGUGGGAGCGGACGUGGCAAGUCUUGGAAAGGCACCCAGCCGCAGCUCAAGGGCAGUGCCCGCCAGCGCUCCUUGCCGUUCGGGACGUGUUGCCAGUUCCAGUCACCACACAACAGCCCAUGACCAAUGGCAGUUCUGGAUGCGCCUGUCCCACGUGAGACCCAGCUCCGGCACCUCUGUUUCUCCCUCCAUCGGCUUCUUCUUCCUACUUCCCUAAGCAAGAAGGUCAAGAAUAGGCUGAGGCACCUGGUGCGAAAGGUACAGGUGCCCACCUGAACUUGCGCCACCUUGAAUGAAGCGCUGGCCUCAGCCUAGCCGGGAGGAGGAGGAGGAGCUGGAUGACUCCUCAGCUGCUACAAAGGCCACUUAUGUAGAAGCUCCUAUAAGUUUUUGCCGUUCACAACACCCUCUUCUGGGUGACUCCUUCAUGCUUGGGUUCUUGGGCCAGGUCCUGGCUCCAAAUCUGAAAAGCUGCAUGGCCUUAGCCUGGUCACUCCCUCAGGACGCGCCCAUGAUGCCUGGGAUGCCCUGUGUCUGCCAGAAAUGACGUAGGCACUAGGCACCAACCAGCCCAAGCUGCCAAGCCCAGCCCCGGCUCCAGCACCUGGUGCCAGCAAGGCUCCAUAAGCACCAGUCUUCUCGCUCCUUCCCCUGGUCCUCCUAUGCUUUCCCAAUCCUGCUUGGCCAUGGAUGGACUAGAACAAAGCAACAGCAGACCUGGCUCAAGCAAGUUCCAAUUUUCAGGUUAACUCCUGGAAGAAGGAACCCAUCCAGAACUAAAAAUAAAGAAAAAGGCUUCUCACCACUGGGCAAAGUUUCUCAGCCUCGGCAUUAUUGACAUUCGGGGCUAGACCAUUCUUUGCGGCAGGGCUGUCCCGAGCAUCAUAGGAUGUUGAGCAGCAUCCCUGGCCUCUGCCCACUAGAUGCCAGUACACCCCCCAGACAUUGCCAAAUGCCCCAAUGGGGGAGGGGGAGGGGAAAAUGACCCCCGGAAAUGAAUAACUGCCAUACUACACCUCCCCUGAGAAAGAGCUAUUCAUUCUCGAAGGAGAUAAGGAUCCUAAUUUCAACGCCUAACAACAGCAGCCAAAAGCAGGAAACAGGGAGGAAGAAGGUGCUCCCCACACAUCUGUAGAAACAUCGCCAGGCCUGUUAGGCUCCUUCCAUUUCAAGGGACAAAGAUGUGGGGCAUCACCUCAGGGAAUAGGGUCUGUCACCAGGGUGCACGGGAGUGAGGAUGUUGCACAGUCCUGCCUCAGGGGAACGGCAAUAACGCCCCCUCAGCAGUCAGGGUACAGAAGGCCCUCAUACGCUCAGAGUCAGCCCGGGGCCCCCGUCUCAAGAUCCCAUCAGAAGCCAGCGUUUCUUCCUCCCUCCGUGAUAGACCCACCAUCUUCACCACUCUGCUGCCUCUUGUCCCUACUUGGUCCACAGUCCUGGCCCUUUUGUGAGAUGUCCUACAUUUAAAACUCCCAGGAGGUCAAUUUGGGCUUGGGUAGUUUCCACCUGUCUUAUUAGUUUGGGCUCCCCAGAAACAGACUCUGAGACAAAGACUCAAGUGCAAAGAAAGUGUUUGGAAGUAACUCCAGGAAACACUAGUAAGGGAGCAGGGAAUUGAGACCAGGAGAGGAAGGAAGCCAAGAAAGGAUGCGCCAGGAGCAGGGUGCUGUGGUGACCAACUGGGGCUUAAUCGGUGGAUGCCAGUGUGGAGCACAUGCCUGCGUUGUUCCAUCCAGAGAGGACAGAGCGGGUGCUUACCCACCAGCUCGCACGAGCCCCAGUGAAGGGCUACCUCUGGGAGGCAUUCAUUCCUCAGCUCUUCCGACUUAUGCAGCACAGACAACUCCAGCGGCCAGAGAGAGCUCUCAGGCCCGAAGAGCCACACGUGGGAGGUGGGACUGACAGGAAUGGCAUGG
This is a long non-coding RNA of Equus caballus (horse), 2740 nucleotides long. The record is from Ensembl. Lineage: Eukaryota; Metazoa; Chordata; Mammalia; Perissodactyla; Equidae.